UUUUUUUUUUGUAAAUUUGUACACCUUUUUGGCUUACAUGACAUCCAAAUAUCUCUCACGCGCCUCAAUUGCGUGGAGUCACAGAGUGUGACACCUAAGACAAAAGGUGUAUCAAAUUACAAAAAAUAAAAUGAGUUCAGGGUAAUAAGACCUUAGUUUAAUUAAGUAUGUCUCUGAUAUUUCGAUCAUAAUCUAAGGUACUUAUGUCUUAUCCCUAUAUAUUUAUUUAAUUUUAUAGCAUAAUUACAGAGUACGAAAAAGCUACUAGAUUCGCCCUACCUAGCUCCGCCCCCUACUAGAGUAUCAUUUUCCCCAAGUAAAACGCUUUUGUCAAUAUUAGAACAGGUGUUCGGCCAAAGUUUCUGGAGAAAAAAAAUACUUCUCUCAGUUUCUAAUUUCUGUUACAACUCAAAAGCACUUUUCACUUUUUCCUAAAAGUCUGGCCAAAUACCUCAGAUUUUUAACUCAUAAAUUGAUUUGCAGAAAAGUAAAACAAAUAUUUAUAUGUAAAAUUAGUACCUGAGCAAGUCUUGUGUGUUGUCAAUUUGUAAAUAAGGACCAAAAUUCCAACAAAAUGUGCGAAUUCAGCCAAAACGAAGAAGUGAUUGUGUUCAUGAAUAAGGAGUUUUAGAGUUACUAGUAAAGUAAGAACAGUGAAAACACCCAAAAAUGUCUUCACUUUGUUUGAUUGUUUUCUAACCCAUGAAAAUAGCUUCUGCAAUGGCCUUUGAACUCCUUUCUGACCCAUCUUCUUUACCUCUCUCUCUCUCUCUCUACUUCUUCUGAAAAACUCAAUAAAUGCAUGUAUAAAGUGGGGUUUGGUACUAUCCAAAAAGAGAGAGAGAGAGAGCACUUUUUCCAUGUUUAAAUUCAUCCUUGUUUGUUCAAAAUUGUUUGUCACGAUAGAAUUAUGCGGGUAUUAAUAAAUUAUUGAUUAGUUAUGAGUAAAUUUAUGUAUACUUUUGUUAUCUUAUCGAUUAGUUAUGAGUAAAUUUAUGUACUUUUCUAUUUCAUAGUAGAUGCGCAUCUUAUUAAAAAAAUUUAUCUCAUGUUAUUACUUCAUCACUUGCACUUUGUUUAAAUGGUUGUUACGUAUUUUUUAAUAAUGUAUUGUAUCGUACGGUAUUGUUUAAUAAAUACAGUGUUUGAAUAGGUUGUAAUUUGUUAUGUUCUUUGUCAUUACCUAAUAUCACAUAUUUACAAUUUGAAUGAUAAACCUACAAAAAAGUAGGGUACAUGUAGAGCUAGUAUGAAAAUGUAUAGCAAAAGAUGAAAUAUAUUUAUUAAGUAAUAAAUAAAGACAAAAUGAUAGGAAAAUAUUUAGGUAACAUGCAAUCACACAAAAUCGAUUAUUACAUAAAAUGAGUCUUUUUGUAUACGAUACAAUAGAAUUUAAGUAACAAUCAAAAUAGGCACGGUAUUUAAACUAACAAUACAAUACAACGGGUAACAACCACCCAAACAAAGUGUUACUAAAUCAUAAUAGAAUUAAUUUACUAUUUCUAAUUUUACCCCUGCAAUUAUUAUGACUUUGGAAGUUUAAAUAAAUUUUGAAGAUCCAAUUUUUUUAUGAGUCUAAUUAAUUUAAGCAAAGAAAAAAAUAGUAAAUAUGAUCGAUCUAUUUAUAAUUUCUUAAUCACGAUGUAAAAUAGAAAGCAUCCACCUAACAUGAAAUGGGAGAGUAUUAUUUUAUGUGAAUUUUUAUAUUGUCAAACAAAUAUCAUACAAUUUUAUAAAUUAAUAAUUUAUUUCUUGUCUAUCUACCAAACAUAAUAUAAAUUACAUAAAAAAUAAUAUAUGAAUAACAUGUUGUUGCUAUCAAAUAAUCCUUUAGAGGUCGUUUUUGAGGUCAUUUUAUAGCUUGUUAGAGGAAAUUUUUACAUAUAACAUGUUGCUGCCAUCAAAUAAUCCUUUGGAGGUCGUUUUUGAGAUCAUUUUAUAGCUUGUUAGAGGAAAUUUCUAUGCAUAAGUUAGAGUUAUACUAUUUGAUUUUAAAAACCAAUAUUCUUACAAAUUAUAAAACUGUCAUGUGUAUUUGAAAAAAAUAUAUAUCAUUUUUGAGAUUCUCAUAACAUAUCUAACAAAAAAUUCGACUUCAAUCUAAUUAUGUCCAAACAAACCCUAUAUCUUAAAUUCAUUAUAUUACGAGUGUACGUGUGAAUUUAUUAAUUUUUACUACUAACAAAUAUUAUGUUUUGAUGAUAUUGUAAUUGCAAAAAUAAAAAUAAACUCAGUGGUGAAAAUAUAAAAACGAAAUUUAAAAUCCUUAAUCAUUACAUUUUAUUUUAUUUUACAUUGAAUAAAGAUGGGAGUUGAUAGUAGUAGGGAUGCAGGUUGACGUAGCAACACCAAAGAAGAAAGAGAGACGUUGGUCUCUUCAACAACGGGUAGAUUGUUUAAUAAGUUGAAUAAAUUAUUUCAAGAUUAUAACAAAUGGUAUCAAGAAAAAAUUGAUCAAAUAUGAAUCAUUUACAAAACCAAACAAAUAACUUUUAAUUAUUGAUUAAAUACAAGCUACUGUUUUUUUUUAAAAAAAUAAUCUCUAAAAAGUAAAUUUUGACAAAAGCUAAUCUCAAAAUAACCAUAUUUUAAAGUUUUUUUGUCUAACAUAUCUAUUUGUGAGAAAGGGAUGCUUAACUAAUGGAUAGAUACAUUGUGGAAUUGAUGAAGGAUUUUUUUUUUUAAUUUGAUGUUUGAUAUUCGUGUAAAAUUCAAUUGAAUUUAAAUUUACAUAUCACAAACUUUUUUUUUUUGACGCAUUAUUAACAAAAAAAGAUUCAUUUCUAAAAAUUCAAACUCGAAAUAAUGAGGAAAUUAAAAUAUAAGAAUUGUUUAUUUAUAGCCCUCGUGCAACACGAGAACACCUCUUCUUUUAGGGAAAGUCAAUUGCUACUGGAUUUUAGUAUUUAUUUAUUUUUAUAAAACGAAUAUUAAAAUAAUUUUUCUUGAAGAAGAAAUAGGAUCUGGUUGGUUUUAUUUUACAGGGAGUAUUUAAAUGCGAUAUGAAUCUUCACAUAAUCCAAAAUAUUCUUUUGCAUUUAAGUUGACAAAGUAAAUACUGCCUCCGUUCCUUUUUAUAUGUCACAUUUUUAGAUUGUACUUAUAUUAAGAAAUUAAGCAAUUUUACUUUUCUGUUCUUAUUUAAUAUUUUCUUAAGUCAAUUUUUCAAUAAAUGAUGAAUAUGCUAGAUUUCAAAAAUUAAAAUGCAUUUGGAUGACUAUUAAAAAAAAAUUGAGUUUAUUUUUAAAAUCAUAUUUUAUAGAAUAGAGAAUGGAGAGAGUAAUUAAUCAAUGUAUGAAGUACUCCAAUGAAUAUUAAUUACUUAUUAGUUUUUCUAGGUUGGUCAAAUUAUUUAUUUUCAAGACUAAUUAACUACUCUAUCAACGGUAUAAUAGGAAGAAUAUGAUAAUUUAUGUAUUGAUUUUAUGAAAUAAUAAGUAUUAUGAUCCAACUAUUCUUAAGAAAUAAAUUAUUAAAAUUAUCCUUCGUAUUUAUGAUUUCUUGAGAGAGAUGUAAAAAGAAGUGGACAAUUAAUAUAGAACGAAUGGAAUAAUAUUCCUCUGUAUCAAUAGGUGAACUUGGAGAGCUCAACACGCCAAACAAGCUUCGUAGACUAUAGGAGUAAGAUUUGCACACACCAACCCAUUUCAGACCCCAUUUGUAUGAUCUCACCGGAUACGUUGUAGAACUUGGAGAGCUCAACAUGCCUACCCCACAUAGGUAGAAGUAAAAUUUGUGUACACUCACUCUCCCACGACUCCACUUGAGGGAUCUCACCGAGUAUGUUAUUGUUGAACUUAGAGAGCUCAACUAAGUAACACUCUUUUAUAAAAAAAAGUCUUGAGAGUUUCCUUGUCUUAUGAACUUUUCUGGGCUCUGAACCAUAUUUCGACUUUGUGAUAAAUCCAUAGAUAACGAUAGAAAAUAAACAGGCACUCGAAAACAGGUACAUGUUCGAGAAUCAUUAAGCAACACUUAGUGGUUAGAGAUAAAAACCAACAACAAUAACACACUUCAGAUUUUUCAUAAUGCUUUUUCAUGCUAAGUACAAUGCUCAAUAUUCUUCAUUUUGUUUUCUGAAUCUCGCAACAGGGGUUUAUAAGCUACAGAAAUUAGGCGUUUCGUCGUACAAUUCUUCAGAUGAGCUACAAACAUCUUCACCUACAGCCUACAAUGGCGAUUG
This 4183-nucleotide long non-coding RNA is filed under the name Solanum tuberosum (potato). RNAcentral describes it as "long non-coding RNA (STUB_LNC006073)". Lineage: Eukaryota; Viridiplantae; Streptophyta; Magnoliopsida; Solanales; Solanaceae. The record is from RNAcentral.